AGUGAACGCUGGCGGCGUGCUUAACACAUGCAAGUCGAACGAGAACGGAUUAUAGCUUGCUAUAAUUGUCAGCUAAGUGGCGCACGGGUGAGUAAUGUAUAGGUAAUAUGCCUCUUACUAAGGGAUAACAAAUGGAAACGUUUGCUAAUACCUUAUACUCCUUAUUAACAGAAGUUAAUAAGGGAAAGAUUUAUUGGUAAGAGAUUAGCCUGUAUUGUAUCAGUUAGUUGGUGGGGUAAUGGCUUACCAAGACUAUGACACAUAACUGGUUUGAGAGGAUGACCAGUCACACUGGAACUGAGACACGGUCCAGACUCCUACGGGAGGCAGCAGUGGGGAAUAUUGCACAAUGGACGAAAGUCUGAUGCAGCAACGCCGCGUGGAGGAUGACACAUUUCGGUGCGUAAACUCCUCUUAUAUGAGAAGAUAAUGACGGUAUUAUAUGAAUAAGCACCGACUAACUCCGUGCCAGCCGCCGCCGUAA
This 484-nucleotide ribosomal RNA is filed under the name uncultured bacterium. RNAcentral describes it as "partial 16S ribosomal RNA". It matches the Rfam family "Bacterial small subunit ribosomal RNA", at positions 29 to 523 of the family's 1533-position model. The record is from RNAcentral.